Molecule: ribosomal RNA, 440 nt
Filed under: uncultured Duganella sp.
Lineage: Bacteria; Pseudomonadati; Pseudomonadota; Betaproteobacteria; Burkholderiales; Oxalobacteraceae
Description: bacterial SSU rRNA
Rfam family: Bacterial small subunit ribosomal RNA
Source: RNAcentral
GGAAUUUUGGACAAUGGGCGCAAGCCUGAUCCAGCAAUGCCGCGUGAGUGAAGAAGGCCUUCGGGUUGUAAAGCUCUUUUGUCAGGGAAGAAACGGGUUUUUCUAAUACAGAGACCUAAUGACGGUACCUGAAGAAUAAGCACCGGCUAACUACGUGCCAGCAGCCGCGGUAAUACGUAGGGUGCAAGCGUUAAUCGGAAUUACUGGGCGUAAAGCGUGCGCAGGCGGUUUUGUAAGACUGUCGUGAAAUCCCCGGGCUCAACCUGGGAAUGGCGAUGGUGACUGCAAGGCUAGAGUUUGGCAGAGGGGGGUAGAAUUCCACGUGUAGCAGUGAAAUGCGUAGAUAUGUGGAGGAACACCGAUGGCGAAGGCAGCCCCCUGGGUCAAAACUGACGCUCAUGCACGAAAGCGUGGGGAGCAAACAGGAUUAGAUACCCUGG